UUUCCUCGGGGGAAGAUGGAGGAGAAGUUUCCCUCGGGGGAAGAUGGGAAGAUGGAGGAGAAGUUUCCCUCGGGGGGAAGAUGGAGGAGAAGUUUCCCUCGGGGGGAAGAUGGAGGAGAAGUUUCCCUUGGAGGCAGAGAGAAUACAGGUGAAACAGAGGUAGACCUCAGAAGGUAGGCUCAGAAGGUAGGCUACAGCGUAAGAUAGAUGACCCCCCCUCAGUAACAGAUGUGUUCUGUGUCUCUUACCCAGACAGGAUAGAUAUAUAUACCCACCCCCUCAGUACCAGAUGUGUUCUGUGUCUCUUAUCCAGACAGGAUACAUGACCCCCCUCAGUACCAGAUGUGUUCUGGGUCUCCCAUCCAGACAGGAUAGAUACAACCCCCCCUCAGUACCAGAUGUGUUCUGGGUCUGUCCCAUCCAGACAGGAUAGAUAAAACCCCCUCAGAGUACAGAUGUGUUCUGGGUCUGUCCCAUCCAGACCCCCUCAGUACCAGAUGUGUUCUGGGUCUGUCCCAUCCAGACAGGAUAGAUAAAACCCCCUCAGUACCAGAUGUGUUCUGGGUCUGUCCCAUCCAGACAGGAUAGAUAAAACCCCCUCAGUAACAGAUGUGUUCUGGGUCUGUCCCC
Oncorhynchus tshawytscha (Chinook salmon) is the source of this 630-nucleotide long non-coding RNA. Lineage: Eukaryota; Metazoa; Chordata; Actinopteri; Salmoniformes; Salmonidae. The record is from Ensembl.